UCUGGUUUAAAAUUUGGAUAACUAACUUGCAGCAUGGUAUGAAUUUGAAAACACUGACCUAAAGCAAUGUUUUCCAAAUUAUACUCCACAGAGAUUAACUUGCAAGAUAAUCUAGGGGGAAAAAAAGCAUUUGGCAGCCAAGAAAGUAUGAGAAAUGCUAUUAACUAUAAGCUCCUUUUGGAAAUUCACAAUUGUGCAUUAAUGUAUGAAAAACUCUGAGAAGUCUCUGCACCCCUCAGUAAAGGUCCACCUAUUUAACUUUAACUCAAUGUUUAUUAAAUUGGGCAUUCAUCCUUUAAACUUUGCAUCAUACAAUACCUCGUAACUGGAGAGGCAAUAAACAGUCAAAGGAGAUUUCAUCGUUGUGCAAACAUCCAAGGUAUUUACACAAAUCUAGAUGGUAUAGCGCACUACGCAUCUCGGCUAUAUGGUACUAAUCUCAUGAGACCACCAUCGUAUACGAGGUCCCUCACUGACCGAAACCUUGUGAUGUUACAUGUACAUGUUACAUUACAUGACUGUAAUGUGGUGGUUAAGAGUACGGUCUUUGGAACAGUACUGACUGCAUUUGAAUCCUGGCUGGCUCUGCCACUUAUUAGUUAUUAGUUUCUUCAUCUGUAAAAUAGAUAUCAUAAUAACAAUACCUACCUACAUGCCAAGUAUGUAUAACAGGAUUUAUAACACCAUAAGCACUAUAUAAGUGUUGAUUAACAUCCAGCAGAACCAGUGUUCUAAGACAGACUUUGGGAAACAGUGGUAGAGAAUCCAGCCCUUUAGAAUUCUGGGGCUUCUGUCUCUCCAUGUGAAGAUUACCAACUAUUUGGAGAGAAGGGAUAUAAUUGUGACACAAUAUGUUAAGUCCUGAACAAGGAGCAAGUGAGGACUCUGGAGCCCAGAGAAGACAAGGAUAUUUCUACUAGAGAGGGAGGUUUCAGGAAAGAAUCCACAGUCAAAUUGACAGAAAUCCUAAAAUGCAGGAAUUAAGAAGCACAAACGUGAAAAACAGAUACUCAACCAGGGAAGGAUCAGAGGAUCAGUACGGCAAGAGAUCAGCGUGGGUACUCUGGAAAAGCUGGGAUGGAACAUCCCGAGACUACACUCCAUUCGAGAGCCCACUUGGCCCCAGCAGCCUUUCUCCUCUCCUCGCUGGACCACAGAAGCCUGGGAUUUCUAUCAGGUGGAUACGGUUUUAGUCCCUUCUCUCUCUUCCAUGCUGGCCAGGGGAUUGCCAAGCUCCAGGCUCAUCCAUGAAGCUCUAUGUUUGAAAUGGCUACUUGACACAGGACAAUACUGACAUAGCUAAAUUUAUAAGCCUAGAUAUUUUCAACAUUUAUUUUAUUAUCAGCUAUUAUGCUCGAAAACCCUCACCCUAUCACUGAUGCCUUUCACACCCUUAUCCCAUCCUUGACUUAACUGCACUCCUGCUCAGGGGUAAAAAAGGAAGCUCAGGAUGGAUCAAGGGUCAGCAAUGUCUGACAUGCACAUUACUUGGUAAAGUGCAAAAAAAAAGUAAACACUCUUUUUUUCUUUUUGCCAUGCCUACGUCCAAAUGGCUGCCUCAAAAACCACAACAAAACUUCCUAUCUCGACCUGAUUCUUUCUCUCCUCGCCUGGAUCAGCCAAAAUCUCCAGGUAGUAUUAGCUCAUCUAAUGCGCUACCUUCCCUCUCUGGCAGCUUCUAACAGGACCAGAUACACACCAGUCAUGUCCCUCCCUGCGUGGAGGCCCUGUUCUCUUCCUGCUGACUUUCCACUUUGAGGCUAAUUGCCCCAGCCAAGAAUAGACAUCUGCUGCAGUGUGACCCUGAAAACCCACAGGGUCACCGUCUGGAGUUGUGCCCGCCAGCUCCUAGCACCCAGGCAUCUCCUGGCCAACUGCUGGAGACGCUAGAGCAUCACCCUGUGCCAGGAGCAGGGCCCAGACCAGUGCCUAGCGUGCCGCCGCCUCGCUCCUCUCAGGCUGCACCUGCCAUCUGCCACGAUUCCCACAGUGGGGAAGAGCUCCCUGCUCCAAAAAAUUCCUCCCUAACAAGCUCCCCUUAGAAACUGAAGCCCUGCAUUUCACGAUUAGAUACAAGGCGAACAGGCAAUGAUCCUGGAAGCAGUUAAACAACAGCGGUUCCACUUGGAAGCCUGAACGGCCCUUUGUGAGGUGAUUUUAAUCCAACAGGAUAGAGGGCACCUGAGAGGAGGAGGAGAGGGGAUGUGGUCAGAGGGCCGCGUGAAAACAAAUGGCUUCUUCCCAAUACAGCUGACCCAGGGCGCCUCUGCCCAGUGCCACGCACUGCACUAUACUGGCUCCAUAUACAUUAUCUCAUUCGAUCCUCAGAGGGACCCGACGAAGGGGGCAUUAUUGUCUCCGUUGUACAGGCAAGCAAACUGAGUUUCAGAUCUUAAGUAUUUAUCUACGACCAAACUGCCAGUAAACGGCGCAAGAGUUGGGUUCCCUGGUUCCCCUGAUAACCAUCUCGGCGCACAGAUGCCAAAAGCCUGGACCAUGAGGGCAAGUAUGGGUCAUUCCCACUGCCCCCUGGGUGAGCCCUGGGGGCUCCAGGAGCACAGUCCGCUGUCAAGGGCCAUGGGAGGAGCGCUCCGAUAGACUUAGGGGGCGGGAUGUCACUGGACCCAGCCUCGAACGCCACCGGCAACACCCCUGAGAGGGUGGCACCUUCGACAGUGUGCAGGAACAAGCGUGGUGCCCAACACUACCCCAGACGGCAGGUGCACGAACUCGGUGGGCAACGACUGUAAUUAUUUGUCCGCUCCCAACCUCUCUUUGCGCCUCUCGUUCUCACCUUGAAUCUGGUCAGUUUUGGGUUUUCGGCGGAAAUGCGGAUAUUACGUUUUGUUGGUGCCACUUACCUCGGGCUCUACAUGUUGGGGUCGGCGUGCCUGGUGGUAGGCCAGGAAUGAGGAACCACGCGACAGGCGCCCUCUUUCUGCGUCCGCACUUUCCUGGCGCAGUUUCUAGGCCGUUGGCCCUUUGACCUCGCCCUUGACCCUUGACCUAGCGGAGGCAGCUUUGCUCCUACUGCGCCUGGGGCCACCUUCAGCGACCGCGCGCACCUCCUUCCGGCUUGGCUGACCUGCAAGGCCGCAAGGGACCCUGGGACAUCCCGUUCCCUGCGCACAGCACUCUGGGAUGGGGGCAGGGGAAUGGGCGGGGCCACUGCAUGCCACACCUGUGGGCCUGGUUCCCACGUGGUGACGACUCCU
RNAcentral lists this long non-coding RNA (3215 nucleotides) under Equus caballus (horse). RNAcentral's name for it is "lncRNA (ENSECAG00000043930.1)". Lineage: Eukaryota; Metazoa; Chordata; Mammalia; Perissodactyla; Equidae. The record is from RNAcentral.